AUGGACCACCUCUGGGGCCCUUCAGAUCUAGGAGCCAGGAGACCCCACGUCACAGCAGUGGCACGCCGUCAGGUGCACAAAAACACUGACGAAAGGCUUUUUUCUCAAAGGACCCACCGUCCUCCCUGCCUCCACCCGCUAUCUUCCCUGCCUCUACCCGCCGUCCUCCCUGCUUCCAUUGUCCUCCCUGCUUCCACCCACCGUCCUCCCUGCUUCCAUUGUCCUCCCGGCUUCCACCCAUUGUCCUCCCGGCUUCCACCCAUUGUCCUCCCUACUUCCAUUGUCCUCCCUGCUUCUACCCACCGUCCUCCCUGCCUCCACCCGCCGUCCUCCCUGCCUCCACCCGCAGUCCUCCCGGCUUCCACCCGCCACCCUCCCUGCCUCCACCCGCCGUCCUCCCUGCCUCCACCCGCCGUCCUCCCUGCUUCCACCCCCCGUCCUCCCUGCUUCCACCCAUCGUCCUCCUGGCUUCCACCCGCCGUCCUCCCGGCCUCCACCCCCCGUCCUCCCGGCUUCCACCCAUUGUCCUCCCGGCUUCCACCCGCCACCCUCCCUGCCUCCACCCGCCGUCCUCCCUGCCUCCACCCGCCGUCCUCCCUGCUUCCACCCGCCACCCUCCCUGCUUCCACCCCCCGUCCUCCCUGCUUCCACCCAUCGUCCUCCCGGCUUCCACCCGCCGUCCUCCCGGCCUCCACCCCCCGUCCUCCCGGCUUCCACCCAUUGUCCUCCCUGCCUCCACCCGCCGUCCUCCCUGCCUCCACCCGCCGUCCUCCCUGCUUCCACCCGCCACCCUCCCUGCGUCCACCCACCAUCCUCCCUGUUUCCACCCCCCGCCCUCCUGGCUUCCACCCACCGUCCUCCCUGCUUCCAUUGUCCUCCCUGCUUCCACCCACCGUCCUCCCUGCCUCCACCCGCCAUCCUCCCUGCCUCCACCCGCCGUCCUCCCUACUUCCAUUGUCCUCCCUGCUCCUACCCACCAUCCUCCCUGCCUCCACCCGCCGUCCUCCCGGCCUCCAUCCGCCGCCCUCCCUGCCUCCACCCGCCGCCCUCCUGGCUUCCACUCACCAUCCUCCCUGUUUCCACCCCCCGUCCUCCCUGCUUCCGCCCGCAGUCCUCCCGGCCUCCACCCGCCGUCCUCCCUGCUUCUACCCACUUCUGUAG
RNAcentral lists this long non-coding RNA (1161 nucleotides) under Felis catus (domestic cat). Its description in RNAcentral is "lncRNA (ENSFCAG00000051938.1)". Lineage: Eukaryota; Metazoa; Chordata; Mammalia; Carnivora; Felidae. The record is from RNAcentral.